CGCUGGCGGCGUGCUUAACACAUGCAAGUCGAACGAUGACUUUUGUGCUUGCACAGAAUGAUUAGUGGCGAACGGGUGAGUAACACGUGAGUAACCUGCCCCUGACUCUGGGAUAAGCCUGGGAAACUGGGUCUAAUACUGGAUAUGCACCGUAGACCGCAUGGUUUUUGGUGGAAAGAAUUUUGGUCAGGGAUGGACUCGCGGCCUAUCAGCUUGUUGGUGAGGUAAUGGCUCACCAAGGCGACGACGGGUAGCCGGCCUGAGAGGGUGACCGGCCACACUGGGACUGAGACACGGCCCAGACUCCUACGGGAGGCAGCAGUGGGGAAUAUUGCACAAUGGGCGAAAGCCUGAUGCAGCGACGCCGCGUGAGGGAUGACGGCCUUCGGGUUGUAAACCUCUUUCAGUAGGGAAGAAGCGAAAGUGACGGUACCUGCAGAAGAAGCGCCGGCUAACUACGUGCCAGCAGCCGCGGUAAUACGUAGGGCGCAAGCGUUAUCCGGAAUUAUUGGGCGUAAAGAGCUCGUAGGCGGUUUGUCGCGUCUGCCGUGAAAGUCCGAGGCUCAACUUCGGAUCUGCGGUGGGUACGGGCAGACUAGAGUGAUGUAGGGGAGACUGGAAUUCCUGGUGUAGCGGUGAAAUGCGCAGAUAUCAGGAGGAACACCGAUGGCGAAGGCAGGUCUCUGGGCAUCUACUGACGCUGAGGAGCGAAAGCAUGGGGAGCGAACAGGAUUAGAUACCCUGGUAGUCCAUGCCGUAAACGUUGGGCACUAGGUGUGGGGGACAUUCCACGUUUUCCGCGCCGUAGCUAACGCAUUAAGUGCCCCGCCUGGGGAGUACGGCCGCAAGGCUAAAACUCAAAGGAAUUGACGGGGGCCCGCACAAGCGGCGGAGCAUGCGGAUUAAUUCGAUGCAACGCGAAGAACCUUACCAAGGCUUGACAUGUGCUAGAUCGCCAUAGA
This 962-nucleotide ribosomal RNA is filed under the name Paeniglutamicibacter antarcticus. RNAcentral describes it as "bacterial SSU rRNA". It matches the Rfam family "Bacterial small subunit ribosomal RNA", at positions 34 to 1004 of the family's 1533-position model. The record is from RNAcentral. Lineage: Bacteria; Bacillati; Actinomycetota; Actinomycetes; Micrococcales; Micrococcaceae.